UAACGACUCUCGGCAACGGAUAUCUCGGCUCUCGCAUCGAUGAAGAACGUAGCGAACUGCGAUACUUGGUGUGAAUUGCAGAAUCCCGUGAACCAUCGAGUCUUUGAACGCAAGUUGCGCCCGAAUCCAUUUUGGACGAGGGCACGUUUGCCUGGGUGUCA
RNAcentral lists this ribosomal RNA (161 nucleotides) under Eugenia reinwardtiana. RNAcentral describes it as "5.8S ribosomal RNA". It matches the Rfam family "5.8S ribosomal RNA". From Rfam's summary of the family: 5.8S ribosomal RNA (5.8S rRNA) is a component of the large subunit of the eukaryotic ribosome. It is transcribed by RNA polymerase I as part of the 45S precursor that also contains 18S and 28S rRNA. The record is from RNAcentral. Lineage: Eukaryota; Viridiplantae; Streptophyta; Magnoliopsida; Myrtales; Myrtaceae.